ACAUGCAGUCGAACGGCAGCACAGGAGAGCUUGCUCUCUGGGUGGCGAGUGGCGGACGGGUGAGGAAUACAUCGGAAUCUACUCUGUCGUGGGGGAUAACGUAGGGAAACUUACGCUAAUACCGCAUUCGACCUACGGGUGAAAGCAGGGGACCUUCGGGCCUUGCGCGAUUGAAUGAGCCGAUGUCGGAUUAGCUAGUUGGCGGGGUAAAGGCCCACCAAGGCGACGAUCCGUAGCUGGUCUGAGAGGAUGAUCAGCCACACUGGAACUGAGACACGGUCCAGACUCCUACAGGAGGCAGCAAUGGGGAAUAUUGGACAAUGGGCGCAAGCCUGAUCCAGCCAUACCGCGUGGGUGAAGAAGGCCUUCGGGUUGUAAAGCCCUUUUGUUGGGAAAGAAAUCCAGCUGGCUAAUACCCGGUUGGGAUGACGGUACCCAAAGAAUAAGCACCGGCUAACUUCGUGCCAGCAGCCGCGGUAAUACGAAGGGUGCAAGCGUUACUCGGAAUUACUGGGCGUAAAGCGUGCGUAGGUGGUCGUUUAAGUCCGUUGUGAAAGCCCUGGGCUCAACCUGGGAACUGCAGUGGAUACUGGGCGACUAGAAUGUGGUAGAGGGUAGCGGAAUUCCUGGUGUAGCAGUGAAAUGCGUAGAGAUCAGGAGG
Molecule: ribosomal RNA, 661 nt
Filed under: Stenotrophomonas maltophilia
Lineage: Bacteria; Pseudomonadati; Pseudomonadota; Gammaproteobacteria; Lysobacterales; Lysobacteraceae
Description: bacterial SSU rRNA
Rfam family: Bacterial small subunit ribosomal RNA
Source: RNAcentral